UCCCUGGUAGUAUAUCGGUUAGUACACGCGCCUGUCAUGACGCAGGUUUUGCACGUGUACGGUUCGCGCGAAAGCGGGGUUCGACUCCCCGCCAGGGAG
Steccherinum ochraceum is the source of this 99-nucleotide non-coding RNA. NCBI's taxonomy places the organism in Eukaryota, Fungi, Basidiomycota, Agaricomycetes, Polyporales, Steccherinaceae. The record is from the annotation of a GenBank genome assembly.